AACGAACGCUGGCGGCAUGCCUAACACAUGCAAGUCGAACGAGACCUUCGGGUCUAGUGGCGCACGGGUGCGUAACGCGUGGGAACCUGCCCUUAGGUUCGGAAUAACUCCCCGAAAGGGGUGCUAAUACCGGAUCAUGUCUUCGGACCAAAGAUUUAUCGCCUUUGGUUGGGCCCGCGUUGGAUUCGCUAGUUGGUAGGGUAAAAGCCUAUCAAGGCGACGAUUCAUAGCUGGGUUGUGAGGCAGAUUAGCCACACCUGGACGGGGCAGCGGCCCAGACUCCUCCGCGAUGCGGCAAUGGGGAAUAUUGGACAAUCGCCGGAGGCCUGAUCCAGCACUGCCGCUAGAGUGAUGAAAGCCUUAAGGUUGUAAAGCUCUUUUACCCGGGAUGAUAAUGACGGUACCGGGAGAAUAAGCUCCGGCUAACUCCGUG
Molecule: ribosomal RNA, 433 nt
Filed under: uncultured bacterium
Lineage: Bacteria
Description: partial 16S ribosomal RNA
Rfam family: Bacterial small subunit ribosomal RNA
Source: RNAcentral